This 336-nucleotide ribosomal RNA is filed under the name Triticum aestivum (bread wheat). Its description in RNAcentral is "partial small subunit ribosomal RNA". Lineage: Eukaryota; Viridiplantae; Streptophyta; Magnoliopsida; Poales; Poaceae. The record is from RNAcentral.
AUGGUGUACUCGGCCAGCGUUGCCGGCGGCCGCCCGGAGAGGGAGCAGGACAGCUGGCCGCCGCAGUCGCCGGUCCGGCAGCUCCCGCUGCCGCCAUUGAAGGAGCACCCGGUGCGGGCCCAUAUCCUCCCGGCUUUGGUGCCCGCGGGCACGUUGAUGCUGGACGUCUGGCCUGCGCCCAGCGCGAAGCCCCCACCCACCGGGAUGCCCGCCGGCCAAAUUGUGGAGCCGCAGUUGUUCUUGAUGUUGAAGGUGGCCGCGCUGGCACCGGCGGCGAAAACAGCCAGGAGGAGGAAGAGCACCGCGGAGGUCGCCAUUGCUGCAAGCUCUAGUUAG